AUAUUGUACAUCUUACUUAAUACUGACUAAUUUUCAGUCGAAACAAUUAUUUUAAUUGACAAUGAAUAAGAAUUACAAAUGAUCAAGGAUAAAUGAGUUAUUCCAUGCAUGUCUUACAGAACUUUCGCUUUGCGUUUUCAAAUUUUUUAGUCAUUAAAUUGUCAAUUCAUUUUAUAUAGAGAGAAUAUCGACAAUAAAAUGUCAAAUUUAGAAAAUUUCAAGAUAUGUAAAAUUUCAAAGUUUUUAAUAUCGACUAAAUUAAAGAGUUUAUUAGCGAGAUACAUUGUUAUUUCAUUUAUCAGAUUCGGACAAUCAGCUGAUACAUCGGCUGAUUGAGAAAGGUUUAAUACUCGGCGGCGCCACAUCAACCAAAAAUAAUUAAAAGAAAACGAAGGCUCUCUCUUGAGUGUUCCCCUGAGAUAUUUUUUCCGUGUCUUUCUUUCAGGUAUAAAUGUCAAUCUACCUAUGGGUAUACUAUAAAUUAAUAGAGACAACAUAUACGGCGGUGGAUUGCGGAGAUGUGCAAAAUAUAUGAAAGGUAUUAUCAAUAAAAUGUAUAAAUAGAGAAA
Acromyrmex echinatior (Panamanian leafcutter ant) is the source of this 569-nucleotide long non-coding RNA. The record is from RefSeq and is a predicted model, not a curated record. Lineage: Eukaryota; Metazoa; Arthropoda; Insecta; Hymenoptera; Formicidae.